RNAcentral lists this transfer RNA (72 nucleotides) under Camelus bactrianus (Bactrian camel). It matches the Rfam family "tRNA". From Rfam's summary of the family: Transfer RNA (tRNA) molecules are approximately 80 nucleotides in length. Their secondary structure includes four short double-helical elements and three loops (D, anti-codon, and T loops). Further hydrogen bonds mediate the characteristic L-shaped molecular structure. tRNAs have two regions of fundamental functional importance: the anti-codon, which is responsible for specific mRNA codon recognition, and the 3' end, to which the tRNAs corresponding amino acid is attached (by aminoacyl-tRNA synthetases). tRNAs cope with the degeneracy of the genetic code in two manners: having more than one tRNA (with a specific anti-codon) for a particular amino acid; and 'wobble' base-pairing, i.e. permitting non-standard base-pairing at the 3rd anti-codon position. Lineage: Eukaryota; Metazoa; Chordata; Mammalia; Artiodactyla; Camelidae. The record is from Rfam by way of RNAcentral. RNAcentral also lists the same sequence under 1 other name.
GUGGGUAUAGCUCAGUGGUAGAGUGCCUGCUUAACAUGCACGAGGUCCUGGGUUCAAUCCCCAGUGCCUCCG